This 253-nucleotide ribosomal RNA is filed under the name uncultured bacterium. Its description in RNAcentral is "partial 16S ribosomal RNA". It matches the Rfam family "Bacterial small subunit ribosomal RNA", at positions 524 to 776 of the family's 1533-position model. The record is from RNAcentral.
UACGGGGGGGGCAAGCGUUGUUCGGAAUUACUGGGCGUAAAGGGCUCGUAGGUGGCCCCAUAAGUCAGACGCGAAAUCCCUCGGCUCAACCGAGGAACUGCGUCUGAGACUGCGGGGCUUGAAUCCGGGAGAGGGAUGCGGAAUUCCAGGUGUAGCGGUGAAAUGCGUAGAUAUCUGGAGGAACACCGGUGGCGAAGGCGGCAUCCUGGACCGGUAUUGACACUGAGGAGCGAAAGCCAGGGGAGCAAACGGG